RNAcentral lists this transfer RNA (91 nucleotides) under Erysipelotrichaceae bacterium. RNAcentral describes it as "tRNA-Ser". It matches the Rfam family "tRNA". From Rfam's summary of the family: Transfer RNA (tRNA) molecules are approximately 80 nucleotides in length. Their secondary structure includes four short double-helical elements and three loops (D, anti-codon, and T loops). Further hydrogen bonds mediate the characteristic L-shaped molecular structure. tRNAs have two regions of fundamental functional importance: the anti-codon, which is responsible for specific mRNA codon recognition, and the 3' end, to which the tRNAs corresponding amino acid is attached (by aminoacyl-tRNA synthetases). tRNAs cope with the degeneracy of the genetic code in two manners: having more than one tRNA (with a specific anti-codon) for a particular amino acid; and 'wobble' base-pairing, i.e. permitting non-standard base-pairing at the 3rd anti-codon position. The record is from RNAcentral. Lineage: Bacteria; Bacillati; Bacillota; Erysipelotrichia; Erysipelotrichales; Erysipelotrichaceae.
GGAGGAAUACCCAAGUGGUUGAAGGGGCUGGCUUGGAAAGCUAGUAGGUCUGUAACAGGGCGCACGGGUUCGAACCCCGUUUCCUCCGCCA